AUGGCUCUCGCUUCCACCUCCCCUCUUGCCGCCACCGCCGCUCGUCCUAUGACUUCCGCUCCCCUCACGCUGUGUCGUUCAGGCCGCCUACAGCGCAUCUUCUGCCAGGCGACCACCGACAGCCCCCGCGGCGGCAAUGCGUCGAACACGUCGCCGUCGCCGCCGAGGUGGCGCGUAGCGGUCUCUGCAGCCCUCGCGGCUGCCGUAGUCGUAGCGAUGCCUGCCCACGCGGAUCUGAACAAGUACGAGGCGGAUCAGAGGGGCGAGUUUGGCAUCGGCUCAGCCGCGCAGUUCGGCAAUGCGGACCUCAAAAACACUGUGCAUGUUAACGAAAACUUCAGGCGGGCGAACUUCACAUCUGCUGAUAUGAGGGAAUCAGAUUUUAGUGGUUCCACAUUCAAUGGUGCCUAUAUGGAAAAGGCUGUUGCUUUCAGAGCGAAUUUCACUGGUGCAGAUUUGAGUGACACUUUAAUGGAUCGCAUGGUUCUCAAUGAAGCUAAUCUCACAAAUGCUGUGCUUUCACGGACUGUCCUUACACGUAGUGAUCUCGGUGGAGCAACCGUUGAAGGUGCUGACUUCAGCGAUGCUGUUAUUGACCUACCACAGAAACUGGCUUUGUGCAAAUAUGCAAGUGGGACAAAUCCUAUAACUGGAGUCAGCACCCGGAAAAGCCUUGGAUGUGGCAACAGUCGCCGCAACGCAUAUGGGAGCCCUUCCUCCCCUCUUUUAAGUGCCCCGCCACCUAAACUUCUGGACCGUGAUGGUUUCUGUGAUGAAGCUAGUGGUUUGUGUGAUGCGAAGUAA
Molecule: ribosomal RNA, 804 nt
Filed under: Triticum aestivum (bread wheat)
Lineage: Eukaryota; Viridiplantae; Streptophyta; Magnoliopsida; Poales; Poaceae
Description: partial small subunit ribosomal RNA
Source: RNAcentral